RNAcentral lists this ribosomal RNA (965 nucleotides) under Lactiplantibacillus plantarum. Its description in RNAcentral is "bacterial SSU rRNA". It matches the Rfam family "Bacterial small subunit ribosomal RNA", at positions 362 to 1319 of the family's 1533-position model. The record is from RNAcentral. Lineage: Bacteria; Bacillati; Bacillota; Bacilli; Lactobacillales; Lactobacillaceae.
UCUUCCACAAUGGACGAAAGUCUGAUGGAGCAACGCCGCGUGAGUGAAGAAGGGUUUCGGCUCGUAAAACUCUGUUGUUAAAGAAGAACAUAUCUGAGAGUAACUGUUCAGGUAUUGACGGUAUUUAACCAGAAAGCCACGGCUAACUACGUGCCAGCAGCCGCGGUAAUACGUAGGUGGCAAGCGUUGUCCGGAUUUAUUGGGCGUAAAGCGAGCGCAGGCGGUUUUUUAAGUCUGAUGUGAAAGCCUUCGGCUCAACCGAAGAAGUGCAUCGGAAACUGGGAAACUUGAGUGCAGAAGAGGACAGUGGAACUCCAUGUGUAGCGGUGAAAUGCGUAUAUAUAUGGAACAACACCAGUGGCGAAGGCGGCUGUCUGGUUCUGUAACUGACGCUGAGGCUCGAAAGUAUGGGUAGCAAACAGGAUUAGAUACCCUGGUAGUCCAUACCGUAAACGAUGAAUGCUAAGUGUUGGAGGGUUUCCGCCCUUCAGUGCUGCAGCUAACGCAUUAAGCAUUCCGCCUGGGGAGUACGGCCGCAAGGCUGAAACUCAAAGGAAUUGACGGGGGCCCGCACAAGCGGUGGAGCAUGUGGUUUAAUUCGAAGCUACGCGAAGAACCUUACCAGGUCUUGACAUACUAUGCAAAUCUAAGAGAUUAGACGUUCCCUUCGGGGACAUGGAUACAGGUGGUGCAUGGUUGUCGUCAGCUCGUGUCGUGAGAUGUUGAGUUAAGUCCCGCAACGAGCGCAACCCUUAUUAUCAGUUGCCAGCAUUAAGUUGGGCACUCUGGUGAGACUGCCGGUGACAAACCGGAGGAAGGUGGGGAUGACGUCAAAUCAUCAUGCCCCUUAUGACCUGGGCUACACACGUGCUACAAUGGAUGGUACAACGAGUUGCGAACUCGCGAGAGUAAGCUAAUCUCUUAAAGCCAUUCUCAGUUCGGAUUGUAGGCUGCAACUCGCCUAC